AACGAACGCUGGCGGCAUGCCUAACACAUGCAAGUCGAACGAGACCUUCGGGUCUAGUGGCGCACGGGUGCGUAACGCGUGGGAACCUGCCCUUAGGUUCGGAAUAACUCCCCGAAAGGGGUGCUAAUACCGGAUAAUGUCUUCGGACCAAAGAUUUAUCGCCUUUGGAUGGGCCCGCGUUGGAUUAGCUAGUUGGUAGGGUAAAAGCCUACCAAGGCGACGAUCCAUAGCUGGUCUGAGAGGAUGAUCAGCCACACUGGGACUGAGACACGGCCCAGACCCCGACGGGGGGCGGCAGGGGGGAAUAUGAGAGAAGGGGCGAAGGCCUGCCCCAGCAUUGCCGCGUGAGUGAGAAAGCCCUUGGGGUUGAAAAGCUUUUUUCCCGGGGAUGAUAAUGACGGGACCGGAAAAAGAAGCCCCGCCUACCCCCGUG
This 433-nucleotide ribosomal RNA is filed under the name uncultured bacterium. RNAcentral's name for it is "partial 16S ribosomal RNA". It matches the Rfam family "Bacterial small subunit ribosomal RNA", at positions 29 to 507 of the family's 1533-position model. The record is from RNAcentral.